ACAAUGUUCUGAAUGUUGACGUGCAAACAGAAAUACAGUGAGAUAUAAAACAUACAAAUAUGUUGUGCAGUCUUGCUUGUGUCUGAAGGAUCACAUAACAUGAAGUGAGGAUGAAUUCACCGGUCAUGUUCAGGAGGUAUGUGGAUAUUAGCAUAAGCUUUCUCUGCAUUUCCAAUGUUUAUGCCACAAAACAUUGUCACUCUUUUUCUCAACAUGUAUGGGAACAUAUGAAGGCUUUUUGUACCAAGAUUGCUUGUGUUGAUGAAACUAUACUGAAAUUUGGUAAAGUUGAUUUUAAGGAAGAGGAAAUCAUUUUCUUUAGUCCAUGUGUAAUGCUAGAUUAGGAAG
Molecule: unclassified non-coding RNA, 348 nt
Filed under: Hevea brasiliensis (rubber tree)
Lineage: Eukaryota; Viridiplantae; Streptophyta; Magnoliopsida; Malpighiales; Euphorbiaceae
Source: RNAcentral